CAGCCAAUCCAUUUUCCCUAAGCUGCUGUUAAGAAAAAAAAAAAUGGUGAAUCAGAGAGCCAUUAUCAAAGGUGCAAGCUGACUUGUCAUCACUUGUGUGAUGAAAAACAUCUUUGCCUGAAUCUUGUUCUUCACCUGGGCUAAGAUUUCUAUCUACACAACGCUUUUCAACAGUUCAGCUUCAAUUAACAACUAAGAGAGCUGCCAUUAGAUUUUCUCAAGACUGGAAACAAUGUAGGAUUUUCUUUUCUUCUAAAAAUAAUGUACAUUUUUAUUUGUAUCUAUACUCAGUCUCUAUACUUCUGCAUCUAUAUUUCUGCAUCAUUAAGUCAAACCACAGAUAUUUCUGGUUUCUGUGGUUACUCUUAGAAAUUACUGUAACGAUCUACUAAUUUGCUCUUUAUGCUUCCUGUAAGAGCUUCUUUGAGUCUUAUGGUUUUCACGUGAUGUAUUGCUAACAUCUUCUGAAGUUCUAAGUUUUAAUAACUGUCAAGAUUUCUAACUCAUUUUCCUCUGUCAAAUAUAGUAAGGGAUGCACAAACAAAAAUAUUCUCACAUUUCUGCCUAAAAUAUUUUUAAAAAUGGCUCACUUAUAUCUCCCUGCCUCACUUAUUGUACCUACUCAUGAGAAACUUCCAGAUUUAUUUAAUUGAGAUUCAUUUUUAGAACCAUGAGAAUGCUCUAAUAUCUUCUUGGUCCUUUGGAGGAAACAUUAAAAUUGUCCAUAAGACUGACAGAGUUCACGUAUAUGUUCUGCGACUCAUGGUUAAAAACACCACAUACCAUUAGCAACCCAUCUGUUCCAUUUCUUGGUAUACUAGAGUGUAAGGUCUCUUGGUUCUAAGACUGUAACAGUGCAAAUCUAUUUGGUACACUAGCUACAACAGGUUAACAUUAAGUUGGCUGUAUUUCAAGCUAACAAAGCUUGUCAGCAGUUCCAGGCCAGCUCCUAGAUUUUUUUUUUCUUUCCUUUUGGGAUCAUGCUUCCUUAUUUCUUCUCUCCUGAAUCUAUUCUCAUCUCUUUCUCUGUUAUAUUUCUUCAGCUUUUUAUAUGUGACUACUACUAGCACACAGUCACUAACAUCAGGUUCAUUGGACAAAUAGAGAUUUUUCAAUGACAUAUGUGUUUUAUUACUAAUGAUAGUACAUAAGCAAAUAUUUAUGAUGAUGAGUCUGGGGUUUCUAUCUGGAAGGUUUGAUGAAAUAAUAUAUACUCAGAGAUCCAAUAUUGAGUCAGUCAGUAGAAUAUCUUUUUCCUUAAACAGUCCUGAUCUUUCUCAUAUAUUUUCUCUGUGAAGCCUUUUGGAGCCACUGACAGUCCAGAAAUCUGUGUGUUACGGAGUUUCAGUAUUAGAAGCCAUGUGGUGAGGGAUUAAGUCAGGAACUCUCACACAAAGCUAUGACUGCUGAUAGAUAACGCAGAUUGAAAGAGACAGCCUGCAGUGAUUUCACCUCCACAGCAGAGACUUCAAUAUCUCCUCUUCUGUGGGCAUAAAUCUUUCUUGCUGAGUACUUUUCAAAAGGAUGGCUCCCAAGUUCUUGAGAAGGACAUUGCUGAGUUGUAGAAGAUACUUCUAAAAGGGACAGAG
Molecule: long non-coding RNA, 1589 nt
Filed under: Homo sapiens (human)
Lineage: Eukaryota; Metazoa; Chordata; Mammalia; Primates; Hominidae
Description: HSALNT0110694
Source: RNAcentral